This 774-nucleotide ribosomal RNA is filed under the name Staphylococcus aureus S123. Its description in RNAcentral is "bacterial LSU rRNA". It matches the Rfam family "Bacterial large subunit ribosomal RNA", at positions 695 to 1471 of the family's 2925-position model. Lineage: Bacteria; Bacillati; Bacillota; Bacilli; Caryophanales; Staphylococcaceae. The record is from RNAcentral.
UUUAGUAUUUGGUCGUAGACCCGAAACCAGGUGAUCUACCCUUGGUCAGGUUGAAGUUCAGGUAACACUGAAUGGAGGACCGAACCGACUUACGUUGAAAAGUGAGCGGAUGAACUGAGGGUAGCGGAGAAAUUCCAAUCGAACCUGGAGAUAGCUGGUUCUCUCCGAAAUAGCUUUAGGGCUAGCCUCAAGUGAUGAUUAUUGGAGGUAGAGCACUGUUUGGACGAGGGGCCCCUCUCGGGUUACCGAAUUCAGACAAACUCCGAAUGCCAAUUAAUUUAACUUGGGAGUCAGAACAUGGGUGAUAAGGUCCGUGUUCGAAAGGGAAACAGCCCAGACCACCAGCUAAGGUCCCAAAAUAUAUGUUAAGUGGAAAAGGAUGUGGCGUUGCCCAGACAACUAGGAUGUUGGCUUAGAAGCAGCCAUCAUUUAAAGAGUGCGUAAUAGCUCACUAGUCGAGUGACACUGCGCCGAAAAUGUACCGGGGCUAAACAUAUUACCGAAGCUGUGGAUUGUCCUUUGGACAAUGGUAGGAGAGCGUUCUAAGGGCGUUGAAGCAUGAUCGUAAGGACAUGUGGAGCGCUUAGAAGUGAGAAUGCCGGUGUGAGUAGCGAAAGACGGGUGAGAAUCCCGUCCACCGAUUGACUAAGGUUUCCAGAGGAAGGCUCGUCCGCUCUGGGUUAGUCGGGUCCUAAGCUGAGGCCGACAGGCGUAGGCGAUGGAUAACAGGUUGAUAUUCCUGUACCACCUAUAAUCGUUUUAAUCGAUGGGGGG